RNAcentral lists this ribosomal RNA (497 nucleotides) under uncultured bacterium. RNAcentral's name for it is "partial 16S ribosomal RNA". It matches the Rfam family "Bacterial small subunit ribosomal RNA", at positions 28 to 507 of the family's 1533-position model. The record is from RNAcentral.
GAUGAACGCUGGCGGCGUGCCUAAUACAUGCAAGUCGAGCGAACGGACGAGAAGCUUGCUUCUCUGAUGUUAGCGGCGGACGGGUGAGUAACACGUGGAUAACCUACCUAUAAGACUGGGAUAACUUCGGGAAACCGGAGCUAAUACCGGAUAAUAUUUUGAACCGCAUGGUUCAAAAGUGAAAGACGGUCUUGCUGUCACUUAUAGAUGGAUCCGCGCUGCAUUAGCUAGUUGGUAAGGUAACGGCUUACCAAGGCAACGAUGCAUAGCCGACCUGAGAGGGUGAUCGGCCACACUGGAACUGAGACACGGUCCAGACUCCUACGGGAGGAAGCAGUAGGGAAUCUUCCGCAAUGGGCGAAAGCCUGACGGAGCAACGCCGCGUGAGUGAUGAAGGUCUUCGGAUCGUAAAACUCUGUUAUUAGGGAAGAACAUAUGUGUAAGUAACUGUGCACAUCUUGACGGUACCUACUCAGAAAGCCACGGCUAACUACGUG